GGUUGCGAUCAUACCAGCACUAAUGCACCGGAUCCCAUCAGAACUCCGCAGUUAAGCGUGCUUGGGCGAGAGUAGUACUAGGAUGGGUGACCCCCUGGUAUGUCCUCGUGUUGCAACCC
Molecule: ribosomal RNA, 119 nt
Filed under: Helianthus annuus (common sunflower)
Lineage: Eukaryota; Viridiplantae; Streptophyta; Magnoliopsida; Asterales; Asteraceae
Source: RNAcentral